CUCUAGAUGAAGAAUCUCAAAUAGGACGAAACGCGCGUUAAACUAGAU
This is a non-coding RNA of Schistosoma haematobium, 48 nucleotides long. Lineage: Eukaryota; Metazoa; Platyhelminthes; Trematoda; Strigeidida; Schistosomatidae. The record is from Rfam.